CUGCGAAAAAGCAGCCGGUAACCGCGUCCUGGCACCGGUACCCGCGCUGGAUGGAGCGGGGCUGAUAAGGAGCGCCCGGGCUGCUGGACCCGGCGGCUGUGCCGUGGCCAGGCAGCCAGGGGGAUUGUGUGGCUUUCUUCCAGAGUCACUUGAAAAAAAGCAGUUGUCUGAAGACUCAGGUCUUAAACCAAAACAGGCCUUUUUUUGCCUUGAACUUAAGUUACAGUAGGACAUUUGCUAUUGCAGGAUUAAUUUCAGCCCUCAGCAGCUCAGAGGCAGAAAAAACAAAACAAGAAACCCAGCGAGUCACAGGCCACAGCUACACUUACUUCACCAAAAUGUUAACGGGACUCCAGUGACACACUCUGCUAGCCAAAAGUUCUGGGUCAUAAAGUGCAGAAGACAAGCAUUUGUUAAGAGUGAGAGCCGCCUUUCCAGACACCAAGCACAAACCACCCCACGUGCCAACCCGAUGGCCACAGCAAGCACGUCUGCCCACAGUCAUGUGCAUCCCCUGGGAAAAUCCACCUGGAUUAGCCUAGCAGCUUCCUUUGCCUGGAGCUCUGGGAGAGCAAGCCAGGGUUUCCCUCACUGCAUCCUCUGCGCAGUGCAAAGGAGCCAGGCACUGGGGAGCAGCGUCCAGCCUCCUGCGUAUGUAGGUGAGGUCAGUCACCCAGGGCAUGGAUACACUGGGACACCUGCGCUACUAAAACUGGCCCUGCUCCUAGGUGAAGGAGAUGUGACCCACCCAGCCAGAAAGCUUUGGCGUCCUUUCGCUCCAGAGCAGCAUUUCUUUUUGCUCCUACAUCUGCUGCCACAACAGGAGAGAGCGCCAACAAUCCCAGGAAGGUGAGCAGCAUAAAUGCCUGAAAUUCAAAACACAGAGGAGGCAGAGCCCAACCUACUUCGCAAUGCUUCCUCCCACGAAGAUGGGGGAUAAUGACAACACGCGCUACAAAAGCCCUCUGCUGAUGCCAAAGCAAUUUAUCGAUAGCGCACUUUUCCGCCACGAACACAGAGUAGACUGUGAAAUGCAACCACCUCUCAGACAGGAGACGGGUGCUUUUCGGCGGAGCAUCAUAGACCGCAGCAACAGCACAAUCCAAAAAACACUGACUUUUAGCAAGUUAAAGCCGGAGAGAAAUUUUGACAGAGAGAACAGUUGCCCAACAGCAAUGAAAACAAGGGUCCAGAACUGAGAGAGCAUUCACAUACACACCCCGAAAAAUUUGCUUUGUGCUCCUGUGUGAUCGGGAGUACCUGUGCCUGCAUGAAGAGCAGCUUUUCUAGAAAGACAGCCAUCACUCCUGUAUUUUGCUGCUAUUUUAAUAUAAUCCUAAAAUGAAAA
Molecule: long non-coding RNA, 1348 nt
Organism: Harpia harpyja (harpy eagle)
Lineage: Eukaryota; Metazoa; Chordata; Aves; Accipitriformes; Accipitridae
Exons: 2
Source: RefSeq, a predicted model, not a curated record